This 89-nucleotide transfer RNA is filed under the name Candidatus Bathyarchaeota archaeon. Its description in RNAcentral is "tRNA-Ser". It matches the Rfam family "tRNA". Rfam says of the family: Transfer RNA (tRNA) molecules are approximately 80 nucleotides in length. Their secondary structure includes four short double-helical elements and three loops (D, anti-codon, and T loops). Further hydrogen bonds mediate the characteristic L-shaped molecular structure. tRNAs have two regions of fundamental functional importance: the anti-codon, which is responsible for specific mRNA codon recognition, and the 3' end, to which the tRNAs corresponding amino acid is attached (by aminoacyl-tRNA synthetases). tRNAs cope with the degeneracy of the genetic code in two manners: having more than one tRNA (with a specific anti-codon) for a particular amino acid; and 'wobble' base-pairing, i.e. permitting non-standard base-pairing at the 3rd anti-codon position. The record is from RNAcentral. Lineage: Archaea; Thermoproteati; Candidatus Bathyarchaeota.
GCCGGGGUUCCCUAGCCUGGUAAGGGGUGGGCCUGGAGAGCCCAUGGGCCGCAAGGCCCUCGUGGGUUCAAAUCCCACCCCCGGCGCCA